UGCUAUUAUCACGACGUCGCCUAUCUU
RNAcentral lists this non-coding RNA (27 nucleotides) under Bombyx mori (domestic silkworm). The record is from RNAcentral. Lineage: Eukaryota; Metazoa; Arthropoda; Insecta; Lepidoptera; Bombycidae.